GCCACGGGUGGUGGGAGUGAGCGCGAAGGAAUUGUGCGGCUGCGGUGAGUUGCUGGAACCUGGCACGAAUGAAAGGCUUUGCCAUGGUCUCUGAUGCAGCCAGGUUACAGCCAGCCGUGAGUUCCUGCUGCGCGCCAGGCACAUGUCAGAUGCUGGGAUACCAGGAAGUGCACCCAGAUAGGGGCCUGAAGAUUAUGUAGAAAUUCAGAGGGUCAAGAACAGCCAGAAAAAAAUAUUGAAAAAGAAAAACAAAGUGGGAAGACCAGUGGAAUAUACGAUAGAGACCAGAAACAAAAAUACACGUGUAUGGACAAUUUAUUUCAGAGGCGGGGCUGCAGAGCACAGGAGGAAACUAUUUUUAGGUAAGUCGUCUUCUCAGUCAUGCUCUGGAAAAAAAUUGCAGGACAUGGAGAAUCAGAGACCCAGGCAGAUCUCACUCACCCUUGUUUUCCUCUCAAAUGCCAGUUUUCCGAGACGAGUCUGUGCAGCCUUCAGCCUUCUGCCAAGGCAGGCAAGGUGAUGGAAAAGAAGAGAUUUGGAAGAAAGAGGAAGUGUCUGUCCCCUUCAGCUCCCAUACUGGUAGUGAAUCUCCACCUCCCAGCGGAAUCUCAUUACAGAAAUUCUCCAUCAUUGGAAAAGUACUCAAGACAACCCUGGAAGUACAUGUUGAAGAGGUCAGAGCCUCUGUCUACCUGGGUCCUGAACUGUUGAGCUGGAGUAGACUCUUGCCACAUGAACCACUACCAACUGGACUUGAUAUGAGUGAGAGAUAAAUGUUAUGGAUAUAGAACCAGAGUCAGUUUCCCAGUCUUGCCCUUGGGUGUUGGUCUGUUGACUGUCUUCCUCCCAAAUCCUCCACUCUUGUUUCCUUGUUAUCUGUGAAGCUGGAAGUCAGAGUACUCUGAUGCCCUAGGUGAUGGUGGAGAUACAAGAUUGAAGAAGCCUGGGUCCCGAGUCAUUGCUUGGAAAGAGCCAUACAGAAGGGCCACCUGUCCAGGAACACUCACAUUGUGCUAUUUCACAAAUGAAAAAUGAACACUGGAGUGCUGGGGCUGAUUGUCACAGCCGUUAGCCUCCUCUGAAGAACACAGCUGGAUUUCACACUCCCUCUGGCUGUAGAGCUCAUCCACAUUUGCUUCCCAAUUGAUGCUUUGAUGAGUAUCAUUCAUCUAUUAGGUUUUUUAUGACUUUUUUUUUUUUUUAAAGAAAAUGCAUCCUCCAUUUUCUAUGACUACUAGAACUAUAGACAAAAGAUGCAAGAAAAUAUUUGCUCUAUUGGGGCAUUAAAUAGUAUUUAAUUUCUUUCUUCUGACUACACAAACUUUUGAAGUUUUAGGACAGUAGCUGCAGAGAUCUACUGGUAAGAGAAAAAUUAAUUUUUAAUUUCUCUUAUUAUUUGGAAUGUUCUCUUGAAAUUAGUAAUUUAGAAAUCUAAUUGAUUUUCCCUUUGUUAAUCCGAUAUAAUUAAUUUCUAUAAACGUUUUCCAGGCUAAAGCCCAAGUAUAUUGAAAUUUAUGUAGUAAAAACCAGGAAAUAAUGUCACUAUUUAUCAUGUUGGCUCCUGCACUUUCAAGUUACCUUUCUUCCCUUAUUACUUGGGAACAAUGAUGUCAUGGCUUAGAAUUUAGCUGUUUCUAGGUACUUACUUUGUGAUUAUCAGCAACCUUACUAUAUAACAUCUUGUUUUGUACACUGAACUUAAAAAGAGUUAAUACAAUACUUCAAGUGUAUUUAAUAAAAUGGCUUGGUAUUUCACAUGCAAACAUGUUUUGGAAACUCAAGGUAACUUUUUUAUUUCCUGAACUUUAUUAAUUGAUUGACAUCAAGAUAGGCUAACUCAGACCAAAAGUAUUCAUAUUUCCACAGGAAUAGUUAUUAAAAAGGUGAGGAAAGAAAAACAAACAAUGACAUAAACACUGAAUAGAUCAGAAAAACAAUGUUUGAAUUAUGAUAAUUUAGAUGUGAAAGAAGAGUGACCAAAUGCAAGAAAAAUGAACAUGAGGGAAGUUAAAUAAAGGGAGAUGAAAGCUGAAAGAAAACGCAAUCAACAUAAAUGGGCACAUUUUGUAAACUGUAGGUUUAAGAAGGAAAAAGAACAAAAUAAACAUGUGACUCAAACUAAAAGAGAUAAGAAAUGUUUAAACUGAAGAAUGUUAGUAAGAACAGAAAGGAAUGCAGAGUACUGUUUAAGAAAAUACAAGGAAAAGAUGCUUUAAAAUCCUGUAGUCUUGACUUCAGAUUCCAGUUCCACUUUGAACUACAGGUAUGACCUUGGAUUAAUUAAUUACUUUACCAGUCUGAGCUUCAGUGUCCCCAGCUGUCAAAUGAAAAUAAUAAAACGUCGUAAGAUGCGUUCAAGACUGUA
RNAcentral lists this long non-coding RNA (2365 nucleotides) under Macaca fascicularis (crab-eating macaque). Its description in RNAcentral is "lncRNA (ENSMFAG00000061415.1)". The record is from RNAcentral. Lineage: Eukaryota; Metazoa; Chordata; Mammalia; Primates; Cercopithecidae.